This 253-nucleotide ribosomal RNA is filed under the name uncultured bacterium. Its description in RNAcentral is "partial 16S ribosomal RNA". It matches the Rfam family "Bacterial small subunit ribosomal RNA", at positions 524 to 776 of the family's 1533-position model. The record is from RNAcentral.
UACGUAGGUGUCAAGCGUUGUCCGGAUUUAUUGGGCGUAAAGCGCCCGCAGGCGGCUUGCCAAGUCUGACGUGAAAUCUCCCGGCUCAACUGGGAGGGUGCAUCGGAAACUGGCAGGCUUGAGGCAGGGAGAGGGAUGUGGAAUUCCAGGUGUAGUGGUGAAAUGCGUAGAUAUCUGGAGGAACACCGGUGGCGAAGGCGGCAUCCUGGACCGACACUGACGCUGAGGAGCGAAAGCCAGGGGAGCAAACGGG